GUGACGGAGAAUUAGGGUUCGAUUCCGGAGAGGGAGCCUGAGAAACGGCUACCACAUCUAAGGAAGGCAGCAGGCGCGCAAAUUACCCAAUUCUCAUUGAGAGAGGUAGUGAAGAUAAAUAACAAUACCGGUCCUUUUCAAGGUCUGGUAAUUGGAAUGAGUACAAUUUAAAUACCUUAACGAGGAUCCAUUGGAGGACAAGUCUGGUGCCAGCAGCCGCGGUAACACCAGCUCCAAUAGCGUAUAUUAAAGUCGCUGCAGUUAAAAAGCUCGUAGUUGGAUAUCUGGUAUGGAUGCCUGGCCCGCCUUACGUGUGUGCUGGUGCAACCAUACCAUCCUUCCGGAGGGUGCUUCAGCCCUUAACUGGGUUUGAAGUACGAUCUGGAUCUUUUACUUUGAAAAAAUUAGAGUGUUCAAAGCAGGCUUUUUGCUUGAAUACAUUAGCAUGGAAUAAUGGAAUAGGACUUCGGGUCCUUUUUGUUGGUUAUAGAUCCGAAGUAAUGAUUGAUAGGGUCAGUUGGGGGUGCUUGUAUUGGGCGGCCAGAGGUGAAAUUCUUGGAUUCGCUCAAGACAAACUUAUGCGAAAGCAUUCACCAAGGAUGUCUUCUUUAAUCAAGAACGAAAGUUGGGGGAUCGAAGACGAUCAGAUACCGUCGUAGUCUCAACCAUAAACGAUGCCAACUAAGGAUCAGCGGACGUUGUAUUCCAGACUCCGUUGGCACUUUACGAGAAAUCAAAGUCUUUGGGUUCCGGGGGGAGUCUAGUCGCAAGGCUGAAACUUAAAGGAAUUGACGGAAGGGCACCACAAGGCGUGGAGCCUGCGGCUUAAUUUGACCCAACACGGGAAAACUUACCAGGUCCGGACAUAGGCAGGAUUGUCAGAUUGCAGAUCUUUCUUGAUUCUAUGGAUGGUGGUGCAUGGCCGUUCUUGUUGGUGGAGUGAUUUGUCUGGUUAAUUCCGUUAACGAACGAGACCUCAGCCAGCUAAAUAGUCGGGCAAACAUUCGUGUUUGUACUUGCGACUUCUUAGAGGGACUGUCGGUUUAAAGCCGACGGAAGUGUGAGGCAAUAACAGGUCUGUGAUGCCCUUAGAUGUUCUGGGCUGCACGCGCGCUACACUGUUGCACACAGCGAGCAUUCACCCUUGACCGAUAGGUCUGGGUAAUCUUUUAAAGUGCAACGUGCUGGGGCUAGAUUAUUGCAAUUAUUAGUCUUCAACCAGGAAUGCCUAGUAAACGCGGGUCAUCAGCUCGCAUUGAUUACGUCCCUGCCCUUUGUACACACCGCCCGUCGCUCCUACCGAUUGAAUGAUCCGGUAAAAUCUCCGGACUGUGGGCGUUGGAUGGCAACAUCUCUUCGUCUGCGGGAAGUUGAUUAAACCUUAUCAUUUAGAGGAAGGAGAAGUCGAAACAAGGUU
This 1417-nucleotide ribosomal RNA is filed under the name metagenome. RNAcentral's name for it is "SSU rRNA". It matches the Rfam family "Eukaryotic small subunit ribosomal RNA", at positions 359 to 1801 of the family's 1831-position model. The record is from RNAcentral.